ACUUAUUAAAAGAGUUGGAAAAUACGAACAAUAGUUUAAACACCAAAGAAUUUGGCGGUAUCUUAUUUAAUUAGGGGAACCUGUCCCAUAAUCGAUAAUCCACGAAAGUCUUACCUAAUUUUGAAACUCAGUUAGUGUACUGCCGUCUCAAGUAUACCUUUAUGAGAGUAUACAAUAAAUUAUAAAUAAAUAGGACGUCAGGUCAAAGUGCUGCUUAUAAUUAGGGCGGAGAUGGGUUACAAACUUAAUAGAGAUAUGGAAAAAUAUAUUAAAUAUAUAUUUAAAAAGUGGACUUAAUAGUAAUUAAAUAAUAGUUUAAUGAAUAUAAUACUAAGAUAUGC
RNAcentral lists this ribosomal RNA (341 nucleotides) under Theromyzon trizonare. RNAcentral describes it as "partial 12S ribosomal RNA". The record is from RNAcentral. Lineage: Eukaryota; Metazoa; Annelida; Clitellata; Rhynchobdellida; Glossiphoniidae.